GAUGAACGCUAGCGGGAGGCUUAACACAUGCAAGUCGAGGGGCAUCACGAGGUAGCAAUACUUUGGUGGCGACCGGCGCACGGGUGAGUAACACGUAUGCAACCUUCCCUGUACAGGGGGAUAACCCGGAGAAAUUCGGACUAAUACCCCAUGAUGAUAUUAUGGGGCAUCCUUUAAUAUUUAAAGCUCUGGCGGUACAGGAUGGGCAUGCGCGACAUUAGCUAGUUGGUAAGGUAACGGCUUACCAAGGCGACGAUGUUUAGGGGACCUGAGAGGGUUGUCCCCACACUGGUACUGAGACACGGACCAGACUCCUACGGGAGGCAGCAGUGGGGAAUAUUGCACAAUGGGGGAAACCCUGAUGCAGCAACGCCGCGUGAGUGAUGACGGCCUUCGGGUUGUAAAACCCUUUCGUGCGGAAAGAAUAGUCUCGUAGCGAAUAACUAUGGGAUUUGACGGUACCGCAGGAAGAAGCACCGGCUAACUCCGUGCCAGCAGCCGCGGUAAG
RNAcentral lists this ribosomal RNA (508 nucleotides) under uncultured bacterium. Its description in RNAcentral is "bacterial SSU rRNA". It matches the Rfam family "Bacterial small subunit ribosomal RNA", at positions 28 to 524 of the family's 1533-position model. The record is from RNAcentral.